Schistocerca americana (American grasshopper) is the source of this 394-nucleotide long non-coding RNA. RefSeq lists it as uncharacterized. Lineage: Eukaryota; Metazoa; Arthropoda; Insecta; Orthoptera; Acrididae. The record is from RefSeq and is a predicted model, not a curated record. The transcript has 3 exons.
CUUCCAAAUCGAAACGUCCAGCCUUUCUACAGUCGGAGCGGUUGAGAGCAUAUCAUAUAGCAGUUUUGGAAAUAUGAAAGAAUCCGUGCACCACUGUUGUGCCUGAAGCAGUACUGUAUGGAGAUGAUAAUACUUAUCACAUGUGAUACCAACUUUGAAAAUGUGCAACAGUGUGGUGGUAGUGAUGCAGAGAGAGUACAACUGGUUUCACACAACUACACAACAGAAAAAUGAUAGUAAAACUGAAUAAAUCAUAUCCAGUUUGACUGUUCAGUCAUGGUGAAAAACUAUUUAGCACAUAAAACAAAAGCUAAGCUGAUUUGUGCACAAAGGAAAAUUAUGUGCAUUCAAGGAAAGCUGAGAAGGAGGUGUCAGUGAAGAAUUACUACUUGUA